AUGCUCACUCAAUACUCUUCGACUCCGCCUUCGCUCAGCGUCGCAGUUUUGACUUCUAAUCAUCACGAGAAUUUCAGAGAGAACUCUGACGCUUCUCUGAGAAGUUUCAAAAGGCAAAAAUCCUCUCCCCUCUCAAUAAAGAUUGAAGCCUAUUAUAUAGCAGUUAGCUUGACUUAUCAGAGAAGUUUAUUACAGGACCACUUUUUCUUUAAUUUGGACAGUAAGGCAUAUUUAUGUUUAAUCCAUAUUGGAGAGGUUUUAAACAAAUUUGGAAUCGAUUCAUGUGAGGGUUGCAACAGGAGCACAAAAGUCUUGAAGUUUGGAUAUGGAGAUUGGAGGAAGAUUGGGAUAUGGAAGCAUGAAGACUAA
Molecule: non-coding RNA, 369 nt
Organism: Vicia faba (fava bean)
Lineage: Eukaryota; Viridiplantae; Streptophyta; Magnoliopsida; Fabales; Fabaceae
Source: the annotation of a GenBank genome assembly